UACAGAGGUCUCAAGCGUUGUUCGGAAUCACUGGGUUUAAAGGGUGCGUAGGUGGGUCUGUAAGUCAGUGGUGAAAUCUCCGAGCUUAACUCGGAAACUGCCAUUGAUACUAUAGGUCUUGAAUUAUCUGGAGGUAAGCGGAAUAUGUCAUGUAGCGGUGAAAUGCUUAGAUAUGACAUAGAACACCAAUUGCGAAGGCAGCUUACUACGGAUCGAUUGACACUGAGGCACGAAAGCGUGGGGAUCAAACAGG
This 253-nucleotide ribosomal RNA is filed under the name uncultured bacterium. RNAcentral's name for it is "partial 16S ribosomal RNA". It matches the Rfam family "Bacterial small subunit ribosomal RNA", at positions 524 to 776 of the family's 1533-position model. The record is from RNAcentral.